CGUCGGCCUAAAUUUCUAAUCUUAAUCUACCAUUUACUCAGUUACCAGAAACGAUGGAAGCUCGAGCAGCGUUUGAAGGGCGUCUCCUGCUUCCACUCCUCUCCGCCUUUAGCAGCACCAGCGUUAGGGCAACUAAGCUGGUUUGUGUACAAACGAAGCUGGACAUGGAGGAUGGUUAUCCACCCAUUGUAGCAGUUAACGUAGCAAGAAGAGCACUUUUGGGGAUUGUUGGAGUUAACGUGGUCCUUGGUAAUUUUUGUGCUGCUCGUGCUGCACCGAUGCAGGACAUGAAAGAACCGGAUGUUCUCAGGACACUGAAGCUUCCUAGUGGGGUCAUAAUACAAGACAUAGUUGAAGGAAAAGGGAAAGAAGCUGGCGAAGAAGAUACCGUGCAAUUCAAUUAUGUAUGUCGGAGGUCAAAUGGUUAUUUUGUCCACAGCACCGUCAAUCAGUUCAGCGGAGAAAGUUCUCCUGUCAUACUCCGUCUGGGUGACGAGCAGAUGAUAAAAGGUCUCAAGGAGGUUUUGAGUGGAAUGAAGGUUGGAGGAAAACGACGAGCUUUAAUACCUCCUUCAGUCGGAUAUACUAGUGAAGCUUUACAACCGAUUCCGGAAGAGUUUGGUCCUCGUCGAAGCCUUCUGUCUCAUGCGAAGGAGCCUUUAAUUUUCGAGGGCCAAGAACUGUGAGCAUUAGUUGGUUCUUACACACUAUUCUGCUCCAAUUUUGAAGUAUCCAUGACAUUGAAGUUUCCAAGUGGGGAAUUUGUUGGCCUCGUAUCAAAUUUUGACAAAGACUAAGGAUUCAUAUUCAGACACCUAUUUUUCCCUUUUUGAUUCCCGGGUUUUCGUUUGUCGCCUUUGUGUUGCAAUAUUGCAUUGGCCAGGUACACCCCACCAAUUUUAGUUUAAAUAAAUAUAUCCAUUUGCUAGUCUGCUAUAUUCACCAACACAGGAAUGGGUUCCUGGCUUGUGGUGAAGUAGAUGAUUGUUCUCGACUCGACUCCGGUUUAGUCAAGACAGCUGGGUAUCUAUCUGAUAGACUCAUCUUUUUGUUUUUUUCAGCUUUUGAUUUAUUGAUGCAGCUAAGGGUGUUUGAGAUCCCGCAUGAAUAUUCAGUUUUUUUUUUAAACUUAAGUUGAUAAUUUUCUGU
RNA transcript from Salvia hispanica, 1149 nucleotides. It is a transcript of the gene named FKBP-like peptidyl-prolyl cis-trans isomerase family protein, with no coding region annotated. The record is from RefSeq and is a predicted model, not a curated record. Lineage: Eukaryota; Viridiplantae; Streptophyta; Magnoliopsida; Lamiales; Lamiaceae.